UACGUAUGGUGCAAGCGUUAUCCGGAUUUACUGGGUGUAAAGGGAGCGUAGGCGGCGCGUUAAGUCUGAUGUGUAAACCCGAGGCUCAACCACGGGAGUGCAUUGGAAACUGGCGGGCUGGAGUGCCGGAGAGGUAAGCGGAAUUCCUAGUGUAGCGGUGAAAUGCGUAGAUAUUAGGAGGAACACCAGUGGCGAAGGCGGCUUACUGGACGGCAACUGACGCUGAGGCUCGAAAGCGUGGGGAGCAAACAGG
RNAcentral lists this ribosomal RNA (253 nucleotides) under uncultured bacterium. RNAcentral's name for it is "partial 16S ribosomal RNA". It matches the Rfam family "Bacterial small subunit ribosomal RNA", at positions 524 to 776 of the family's 1533-position model. The record is from RNAcentral.